GCUUGAUUAGUAGCAAAAAAGCUUAUUAGCAUACAGAAAGCAUGGCAAAUAAUGUAAGCCCGUUGGAGGAAGCUGCUCUUUCGGGAGAUAUAGACCGUCUCUACGCUCUAAUUCAGGGGGAUCCAGAUAUCUUGAAUGAUGCUGAUGCGAAACCAUUUGUUAGCACACCUUUGCAUAUUGCUGCAUCCGUGGAUCUCAGGACGAAUCCUGAGCUGGAGCUCAAGUAUCUCUACUUUGCCACUGAGAUCAUGGUGUUGAUGCCCUCAUUUGCUUUGAAGCUCAAUCAGCAAGGGUUCAGCCCCGUGCACCUUGCUAUCCAAAAUGGGCAUAGCAAACUGGCUCGUCGCUUUGUAGACAUGAACAAAGAGCUUGCCAGAGUGAAAGGAAGGGAGGGCACCACCCCUCUUCAUCUUGUAAGUCAAAUAGGAGAUUGUGACCUCUUAACUUUCUUUCUGUCAGCUUGUCCAGAUUCCAUUGAAGAUGUGAACGCCAGAGAUGAGACUGCUCUUCACGUUGCAGUGAGAUAUGAGCAGUUUGAUGCUCUCAGGGUGCUGGUUGGGUGGCUCAAGGGAAAUACCCGCAAGGGUGCUGCAAGACUAGAAAGAUCCAUGUUGAACUGGAGAGAUGUGGCAGGCAACACCAUUUUGCACCUUUCUGUUAUCAAACACGACAUACAGGCUCUUGAUUUUCUGCUAAAAGAUCGUUAUAUUAUAGAUUUAAAUGUGAAGAAUUCGGAGAAUAAGACAGCACUAGACGAAGCCACUGGUCGUAGUGAAGAUAUGAAGAGCAAAUUAUCAAAGGCUGGAGCAAGACUUGGCACAUCACUUGAAGAUAGUUCCAUGUUGGCAGCUGCUACAUCUGAAAUGUACAAAAUCUUAGAUGAAGAUUUGUUUGAAACUCAAACAAUCAUAAGGCGUAUCAGAGGGAACAUAUCAGACAACCAACGAGAUGCUUAUUUGGUAGCGGCUACUCUGAUUCUAACCACAGUCUAUCAAUCGGCGCUGAGCCCCCCUGGUGGACUUUAUCAGGCCGACGCCAGUAAUCUGAAUGCUACUUCAUCACUCAAUUCUGCUGCUAGCAAAUCGGUCUUGUCCACCGUUAACUUCGCUUCCCUUGCAUUGAUUAACUCGUCUGCCCUCUUCUACGCAAUUAUAGCAUUUCUGGUAAUAAUACCAGAGGGCAUGAUCGGCGGCAUGCUGGUAGCUCCAAGUGUUUACGUUGGCAUCAGCUAUUUCUAUUCUUUGGCAAUUAUAAGCCCCCCACGGCAUGAAACAACCGGGCACCCGAUUGCUGGUCAAGUGAUGCUUCUAAUUGUCAUCAUCUUCUCUGGAAUUGUCAUUGCACUCCUGUUGAAUGGUUUCGGUUUCGGUGCAUACUUAGGCACAACACAAUUAACAGCACUCGAGAAAUACAUGCCGCGCCUGCCUAGAAGGUUUACGAGUAGAAACAAUAAUGCAAGUAACAUAUAGUUAUGUCGAAUACAUAUUGCACGUAACGUGCAUUUCUAUUUAAUAUUUUAGUUUUGAGCAGGCAACUACUUAAGUUCAGAGUUGGUUCAGGUGGUGGUUUUCAUUCAACAACUCCUCUAUCAGUUAUUAAGGUAUGGAGAAGAAACUACUGAAGGUCGGAGCAAAUCACGGUUCAUCUAUUGAAGUUAGACCACCCACCCUCGCAGAUGAGCUAAUUUAUUGCUUACCAUCAGCAUCUUCGUUGACUUUGAAGGCGAAAAGAUUCUACUCCAACUUAAAGUUAGAACUACAUAAGUUUAUAGUUUGAUCAUGUGUGUACCUAUCCUUGCAUGUUUAUUGGUUGUUAUGUCUCAAUUCAGGCUUUAUUUUCAUGCUGUUGUUCUAUCUGGUUUAAUAGAACUGUUUG
Arachis stenosperma is the source of this 1875-nucleotide RNA transcript. It is a transcript of the gene named ankyrin repeat-containing protein BDA1-like, with no coding region annotated. Lineage: Eukaryota; Viridiplantae; Streptophyta; Magnoliopsida; Fabales; Fabaceae. The transcript is spliced from 3 exons. The record is from RefSeq and is a predicted model, not a curated record.